RNAcentral lists this transfer RNA (63 nucleotides) under Pselaphinae sp. 2 EF-2015. Its description in RNAcentral is "tRNA-Thr". Lineage: Eukaryota; Metazoa; Arthropoda; Insecta; Coleoptera; Staphylinidae. The record is from RNAcentral.
GUUUUAAUAAUUUAAUAAAAAUAUUGAUUUUGUAAUUCAAAAAUAAGAACUUCUUUUAAAACU